CUGGUGCCAGCAGCCGCGGUAAUUCCAGCUCCAAUAGCGUAUAUUAAAGUUGUUGCGGUUAAAAAGCUCGUAGUUGGAUCUCAGUUCCGGACCGACGGUACGCCGCCCGGCGUCUACUGUCGGCUUCCGAACGCUAAAGCCCGUCGGCUCGGUCGGGGUGCUCUUCAUCGAGUGUCCCGGGCGGCCGGCACGUUUACUUUGAAAAAAUUAGGGUGCUCAGAGCAGGCCAAGGCGCCUGAAUACUUGUGCAUGGAAUAAUGGAAUAGGACCUCGGUUCUAUUUUGUUGGUUUUAAGAGCCCGAGGUAAUGAUUAAUAGGAACAGACGGGGGCAUUCGUAUUGCGACGUUAGAGGUGAAAUUCUUGGAUCGUCGCAAGACGAACUACUGCGAAAGCAUUUGCCAAGAAUGUUUUCAUUAAUCAAGAACGAAAGUUA
RNAcentral lists this ribosomal RNA (434 nucleotides) under Thysanoessa raschii. Its description in RNAcentral is "SSU rRNA". It matches the Rfam family "Eukaryotic small subunit ribosomal RNA", at positions 561 to 992 of the family's 1831-position model. The record is from RNAcentral. Lineage: Eukaryota; Metazoa; Arthropoda; Malacostraca; Euphausiacea; Euphausiidae.